Molecule: ribosomal RNA, 388 nt
Filed under: uncultured bacterium
Lineage: Bacteria
Description: bacterial SSU rRNA
Rfam family: Bacterial small subunit ribosomal RNA
Source: RNAcentral
GACGAACGCUGGCGGCGUGCUUAACACAUGCAAGUCGAACGAGGUCCAACCUUCGGGUGAAGACCUAGUGGCGAACGGGUGCGUAACACGUGAGGAACUUGUCCCGGUCUCUGGGAUAACAGUUGGAAACGACUGCUAAUACCGGAUGACGUCGGAGCGUCGCAUGGCGCGCUGACGAAAGGGUUACUGGAUCGGGAGAGCCUCGCGGCCUAUCAGCUUGUUGGUGGGGUAACGGCCACCAAGGCAUCGACGGGUAGCUGGUCUGAGAGGAUGAUCAGCCACACUGGGACUGAGACACGGCCCAGACUCCUACGGGAGGCAGCAGUGGGGAAUUUUGGACAAUGGGGGCAACCCUGAUCCAGCCAUUCCGCGUGAGUGAAGAAGGCCU